Camellia sinensis is the source of this 458-nucleotide non-coding RNA. The record is from RefSeq and is a predicted model, not a curated record. NCBI's taxonomy places the organism in Eukaryota, Viridiplantae, Streptophyta, Magnoliopsida, Ericales, Theaceae.
AAAAGAAUUUGAGAGACCAUUCCUUCCUCAAAAAUUAGCUAUCUCUGUACUUUAUUUUCUAUGUAUUUCAAAGCAAUUCUCUGCAGCUACUUCUAUUAAACAAUUGUCCAGCCUUAUUUAUUGUAGCCUUUCACUUCUGCAGGUCGCAGAGUUGGACAGAAUUUGGGAAAAAAGGUAUCGGUGAUAUGCCACCUCCAAGGACAUAGCUUGGGAGGACUAGAGGCUGAAGGCUUUCUUUUGUUACAUUUAUGCUAAAAUGUUUAUUUAAGCCAAGGGCUUUACAUGUAUAGAGCUAGGACUCUUUCUUUUGUUAUAACCAAGUGAUAGCUUGGAAAGAUGUAAGCCCGUAGGGCAUUUAUUUUGUUGUAAUCAAUUAGUGUUAUAUGCUGUAGUUUCAUAACGAACAUUUAUGAAAGUAUAAGGCAUGUAAUAUCUUUUGAAAUAUUAACUCUGAUGAA